CUUGAGGUCUAUCCCGAUGGAGCCUGGCUGUAGGUUCUUUAUCGCUGGAAACGCCUCAUAGAGCAACGAACUUGUGGUUUCAUUUUACCCAUUAACCUGUGUUUGAUGGGUAUGGCAAAAUUGCAAGACAAUA
This is a small nucleolar RNA of Python bivittatus (Burmese python), 133 nucleotides long. The record is from RefSeq and is a predicted model, not a curated record. Lineage: Eukaryota; Metazoa; Chordata; Lepidosauria; Squamata; Pythonidae.